Molecule: ribosomal RNA, 624 nt
Filed under: Pseudomonas aeruginosa
Lineage: Bacteria; Pseudomonadati; Pseudomonadota; Gammaproteobacteria; Pseudomonadales; Pseudomonadaceae
Description: bacterial SSU rRNA
Rfam family: Bacterial small subunit ribosomal RNA
Source: RNAcentral
UGCAGUCGAGCGGAUGAAGGGAGCUUGCUCCUGGAUUCAGCGGCGGACGGGUGAGUAAUGCCUAGGAAUCUGCCUGGUAGUGGGGGAUAACGUCCGGAAACGGGCGCUAAUACCGCAUACGUCCUGAGGGAGAAAGUGGGGGAUCUUCGGACCUCACGCUAUCAGAUGAGCCUAGGUCGGAUUAGCUAGUUGGUGGGGUAAAGGCCUACCAAGGCGACGAUCCGUAACUGGUCUGAGAGGAUGAUCAGUCACACUGGAACUGAGACACGGUCCAGACUCCUACGGGAGGCAGCAGUGGGGAAUAUUGGACAAUGGGCGAAAGCCUGAUCCAGCCAUGCCGCGUGUGUGAAGAAGGUCUUCGGAUUGUAAAGCACUUUAAGUUGGGAGGAAGGGCAGUAAGUUAAUACCUUGCUGUUUUGACGUUACCAACAGAAUAAGCACCGGCUAACUUCGUGCCAGCAGCCGCGGUAAUACGAAGGGUGCAAGCGUUAAUCGGAAUUACUGGGCGUAAAGCGCGCGUAGGUGGUUCAGCAAGUUGGAUGUGAAAUCCCCGGGCUCAACCUGGGAACUGCAUCCAAAACUACUGAGCUAGAGUACGGUAGAGGGUGGUGGAAUUUCCUGUGU